GACGAACGCUGGCGGCGUGCCUAAUACAUGCAAGUCGAACGAGAGCGACCGGUGCUUGCACUGGUCAAUCUAGUGGCGAACGGGUGAGUAACACGUGGGUAACCUGCCCAUCAGAGGGGGAUAACAUCCGGAAACGGAUGCUAAAACCGCAUAGGUCUUCGAACCGCAUGGUUUGAAGAGGAAAAGAGGCGCACGCUUCUGCUGAUGGAUGGACCCGCGGUGCAUUAGCUAGUUGGUGAGGUAACGGCUCACCAAGGCCGUGAUGCAUAGCCGACCUGAGAGGGUGAUCGGCCACAUUGGGACUGAGACACGGCCCAAACUCCUACGGGAGGCAGCAGUAGGGAAUCUUCCGCAAAGGACGCAAGUCUGACGGAGCAACGCCGCGUGAGUGAAGAAGGUUUUCGGAUCGUAAAACUCUGUUGUUAGAGAAGAACAAGUGCUAGAGUAACUGUUAGCGCCUUGACGGUAUCUAACCAGAAAGCCACGGCUAACUACGUG
This 498-nucleotide ribosomal RNA is filed under the name uncultured bacterium. RNAcentral describes it as "partial 16S ribosomal RNA". It matches the Rfam family "Bacterial small subunit ribosomal RNA", at positions 28 to 507 of the family's 1533-position model. The record is from RNAcentral.